This 380-nucleotide long non-coding RNA is filed under the name Androctonus crassicauda. The record is from RNAcentral. Lineage: Eukaryota; Metazoa; Arthropoda; Arachnida; Scorpiones; Buthidae.
CUGGGGUGGGCCCGCCCCCCCGGGGGGCCGGCUGUCUAUGUGGGAGUCGCUGCCGGGACACUUGACCGGCGCCUUUCGGAGCGUGGGAGGGACAUGGUGCUGGGCGGGACAUCGACGGCGUUGGCAGCAGCGGCCUGUGGAGGAGGCGUGUCGGUCGAUUGGAGGGCGGCAGGGGUGGUUCGACCCUUGAGGAGGAGGGGGCACGCUGUUUUGGCGGGGGCCAUGGAGAUGUGUGGGGGCGAAUGGGCUGAGGGGCCGCUUAGCAAUCACCCAGCGAGGGGGGUGCCCGACCCAUGGAAGUGCUUAUUGAAUCGUGAGCGCCUUAGGGGACCUUAAUUGGUAAUGAUAUGAGGGACUGUCUUAAUAUAUCUGGAACUGUU